ACGGGAGGCAGCAGUGGGGAAUAUUGGACAAUGGGGGCAACCCUGAUCCAGCGACGCCGCGUGAGUGAAGAAGUAUUUCGGUAUGUAAAGCUCUAUCAGCAGGGAAGAUAAUGACGGUACCUGACUAAGAAGCCCCGGCUAACUACGUGCCAGCAGCCGCGGUACUACGUAGGGGGCAAGCGUUAUCCGGAUUUACUGGGUGUAAAGGGAGCGUAGACGGUAUGGCAAGUCUGAUGUGAAAACCCAAGGCUCAACCAUGGGACUGCAUUGGAAACUGUCAAACUAGAGUGCAGGAGGGGUAAGCGGAAUUCCUAGUGUAGCGGUGAAAUGCGUAGAUAUUAGGAGGAACACCGGUGGCGAAGGCGGCUUACUGGACUGUAACUGACGUUGAGGCUCGAAAGCGUGGGGAGCAAACAGGAUUAGAUACCCUGGUA
RNAcentral lists this ribosomal RNA (434 nucleotides) under uncultured Lachnospiraceae bacterium. Its description in RNAcentral is "partial 16S ribosomal RNA". It matches the Rfam family "Bacterial small subunit ribosomal RNA", at positions 341 to 792 of the family's 1533-position model. Lineage: Bacteria; Bacillati; Bacillota; Clostridia; Lachnospirales; Lachnospiraceae. The record is from RNAcentral.